AGGACGAACGCUGGCGGCGUGCUUAACACAUGCAAGUCGAGCGGUAAGGCCCUUCGGGGUACACGAGCGGCGAACGGGUGAGUAACACGUGGGUGACCUGCCCCCUACUCUGGGAUAAGCCUGGGAAACUGGGUCUAAUACCGGAUAUGACCUUCCGUUGCAUGAUGGUGGGUGGAAAGUGGUGUUUUCGGACACUGUCGGUGGGGGAUGGGCCCGCGGCCUAUCAGCUUGUUGGUGGGGUGAUGGCCUACCAAGGCGACGACGGGUAG
Molecule: ribosomal RNA, 269 nt
Filed under: uncultured bacterium
Lineage: Bacteria
Description: partial small subunit ribosomal RNA
Rfam family: Bacterial small subunit ribosomal RNA
Source: RNAcentral